GGGGCCUUAAUGGUUUCGACGUGUUGGAGAAAUCCGAAGCGUGAUACAGGUCGAGAGUGAGUCUCCUCUCGUAAAUCAAAGGCUCAAAACAAAAGUAAAUGCGAACAACAUCGUUCCUUUCGCUCGCAAAGCAGCUGCUGUUGCUUAGAAAAAACCACUAAUCUGGUUCGAGCACUCAUAGUCUGACUCCGUUAAGGGCUGUGGGUAAACCCCAACGGAUGCGCGCUUACUCCGCCUCUGGUCGGUGUAUUCGUUAAGACUUCACCAGAGCAUCCCACCAUCCGGGAUAAGAGAUGGUUCCUGCCCCGAGGAUUAGAGGGGAUAAACCUGUGAACGAGCGCCAGGUCAAUAUCCAGGGCGGACACGGGUUCGAUUCCCGUAGGCUCCAUUA
RNAcentral lists this transfer-messenger RNA (391 nucleotides) under Cyanobacteria bacterium SBC. It matches the Rfam family "transfer-messenger RNA". From Rfam's summary of the family: Bacterial tmRNA, also known as 10Sa RNA or SsrA, is named for its dual tRNA and mRNA-like properties. RNAcentral also lists the same sequence under 2 other names. Lineage: Bacteria; Bacillati; Cyanobacteriota. The record is from RNAcentral.